RNAcentral lists this ribosomal RNA (253 nucleotides) under uncultured prokaryote. RNAcentral describes it as "partial 16S ribosomal RNA". It matches the Rfam family "Bacterial small subunit ribosomal RNA", at positions 525 to 777 of the family's 1533-position model. The record is from RNAcentral.
ACGUAGGGGGCAAGCGUUGUCCGGAAUCAUUGGGCGUAAAGCGCGCGUAGGCGGCCCGGUAAGUCCGCUCUGAAAGUCCAGGGCUCAACCCUCGGAUGCCGGUGGAUACUGUCGGGCUUGAGUACGGAAGAGGCGAGUGGAAUUCCUGGUGUAGCGGUGAAAUGCGCAGAUAUCAGGAGGAACACCAAUUGCGAAGGCAGCUCGCUGGGACGUAACUGACGCUGAGGCGCGAAGGCGUGGGGAGCGAACGGGA